CAUGUGAUCCUGAGGUCAUGUGAUCCUGAGAUCAUGUGAUCCUGAGGUCAUGUGAUCCUGAGGUCAUGUGAUCUUGAGGUCAUGAGAUCAUGUGAACCUUAGAUCAUGAGGUCUUGUGAUCAUGUGAUCCUGAGGUCAUGUGAUCAUGAGGUCAUGUGAUCCUGAGGUCAUGUGAUCCUGAGAUCAUGUGAUCCUGAGGUCUUGUGAUCUUGAGAUCAUGAGGUCAAGACAUGAUUAGGUCAUGUGAUCAUGAGGUCAUGUGAUCAUGAGGUCAUGUGAUCUUGAGAUAAUAAGAUCAUGAGGUCACGUGAUCCUGAGGUCAUGUGAUCUUGAGGUCAUGUGAUCUUGUGAUCAUGAGGUAAUGUGAUCAUGAGGUCAAGACAUCAUUUUGUCAUGUGAGCCUGAGGUCAUGUGAUCAUGAGGUCAUGUGAUCAUGAGGUCAUGUGAUCCUGAGGUCAUGUGAUCCUGAGAUCAUGUGAUCCUGAGGUCUUGUGAUCUUGAGAUCAUGAGGUCAAGACAUGAUUAGGUCAUGUGAUCAUGAGGUCAUGUGAUCAUGAGGUCAUGUGAUCUUGAGAUAAUAAGAUCAUGAGGUCACGUGAUCCUGAGGUCAUGUGAUCUUGAGGUCAUGUGAUCUUGUGAUCAUGAGGUAAUGUGAUCAUGAGGUCAAGACAUCAUUUUGUCAUGUGAGCCUGAGGUCAUGUGAUUAUGUGGUCAAGACAUCAUUAGGUCAUGUGAUCCUGAGGUCUUGUGAUCAUGAGGUCUUGUGAUCAUGAGGUCAUGUGAUCAUGAGAUUAUGUAGUCAUGUGAUCAUGUUAGCAGAGCAGCAGAUCAAAGAUUCUCUACUGACCAACAUUUCGGCAGAAAAAGUGUUUUUGUAACAAAAAAUAAACUGAUCUUCUAAAGAUG
Molecule: long non-coding RNA, 906 nt
Organism: Girardinichthys multiradiatus
Lineage: Eukaryota; Metazoa; Chordata; Actinopteri; Cyprinodontiformes; Goodeidae
Exons: 2
Source: RefSeq, a predicted model, not a curated record